This 260-nucleotide ribosomal RNA is filed under the name uncultured Spirochaetaceae bacterium. RNAcentral's name for it is "partial 16S ribosomal RNA". It matches the Rfam family "Bacterial small subunit ribosomal RNA", at positions 1123 to 1382 of the family's 1533-position model. The record is from RNAcentral. Lineage: Bacteria; Pseudomonadati; Spirochaetota; Spirochaetia; Spirochaetales; Spirochaetaceae.
ACGUUAAGUGGGGACUCUGGCGGAACUGCCGGUGGACAAACCGGAGGAAGUGGGGAUGACGUCAAGUCCUCAUGGCCCUUAUGUCCAGGGCUACACACGUGCUACAAUGGUCGCUACAGAGUGACGCGAAGCCGCGAGGUGGAGACAAAUCGCAGAAAAGCGACCUUAGUUCGGAUUGGAGUCUGAAACCCGACUCCAUGAAGGUGGAAUCGCUAGUAAUCGCGCAUCAGCAUGGCGCGGUGAAUACGUUCCCGGGCCUU